Molecule: ribosomal RNA, 394 nt
Filed under: uncultured Alphaproteobacteria bacterium
Lineage: Bacteria; Pseudomonadati; Pseudomonadota; Alphaproteobacteria
Description: bacterial SSU rRNA
Rfam family: Bacterial small subunit ribosomal RNA
Source: RNAcentral
GAGUUUGAUCCUGGCUCAGAACGUACGCUGGCGGCACGCCUAACACAUGCAAGUCGAGCGGGGUAGCAAUACCUAGCGGCAGACGGGUGCGUAACAUGUGGGAAUCUGCCUUUUGGUUCGGAACAACAUGGGGAAACCUGUGCUAAUACCGGAUAAGUCCUAACGGAGAAAGUUUUAAUGCCAAAAGAUGAGCCCGCAUUUGAUUAGCUUGUUGGUGAGGUAAAAGCUCACCAAGGCUAUAAUCAAUAGCUGAUUUGAGAGGAUGAUCAGCCACACUGGGACUGAGAUACGGCCCAGACUCCUACGGGAGGCAGCAGUGGGGAAUCUUGCACAAUGGGCGAAAGCCUGAUGCAGCGAUGCCGCGUGAGUGAAGAAGGCCUUUGGCGUUGUAAAG